Molecule: ribosomal RNA, 253 nt
Filed under: uncultured bacterium
Lineage: Bacteria
Description: partial 16S ribosomal RNA
Rfam family: Bacterial small subunit ribosomal RNA
Source: RNAcentral
UACGUAGGGGGCAAGCGUUGUCCGGAAUUAUUGGGCGUAAAGCGCGCGCAGGCGGUCCUUUAAGUCUGAUGUGAAAGCCCACGGCUCAACCGUGGAGGGUCAUUGGAAACUGGAGGACUUGAGUGCAGGAGAGAAGAGUGGAAUUCCACGUGUAGCGGUGAAAUGCGUAGAGAUGCGGAGGAACACCGAUGGCGAAGGCAGCCCCCUGGGCUAGCACUGACGCUCAGGCACGAAAGCGUGGGGAGCAAACAGG